Molecule: ribosomal RNA, 492 nt
Filed under: uncultured bacterium
Lineage: Bacteria
Description: partial 16S ribosomal RNA
Rfam family: Bacterial small subunit ribosomal RNA
Source: RNAcentral
AGUGAACGCUGGCGGUAGGCCUAACACAUGCAAGUCGAACGGCAGCACAGUAAGAGCUUGCUCUUACGGGUGGCGAGUGGCGGACGGGUGAGGAAUACAUCGGAAUCUACUUUUUCGUGGGGGAUAACGUAGUGAAACUUACGCUAAUACCGAAUACGACCUACGGGUGAAAGCAGGGGAUCUUCGGACCUUGCCCGAUUGAAUGAGCCGAUGCCGGAUUAGCUAGUUGGCGGGGUAACGGCCCACCAAGGCGACGAUCCGUAGCUGGUCUGAGAGGAUGAUCAGCCACACUGGAACUGAGACACGGUCCAGACUCCUACGGGAGGCAGCAGUGGGGAAUAUUGGACAAUGGGCGCAAGCCUGAUCCAGCCAUACCGCGUGGGUGAAGAAGGCCUUCGGGUUGUAAAGCCCUUUUGUUGGGAAAGAAAAGCAGCAGGUUAAUACCCCGCUGUUCUGACGGUACCCAAAGAAUAAGCACCGGCUAACUUCGUG